UGGGGAAUAUUGGACAAUGGGCGAAAGCCUGAUCCAGCCAUGCCGCGUGAGUGACGAAGGCCUUAGGGUUGUAAAACUCUUUCGUCGGGGACGAUAAUGACGGUACCCGAAGAAGAAGCUCCGGCUAACUUCGUGCCAGCAGCCGCGGUAAUACGAAGGGAGCUAGCGUUGUUCGGAAUCACUGGGCGUAAAGCGCACGUAGGCGGAUAGUUAAGUCAGGGGUGAAAUCCUGGGGCUCAACCCCAGAACUGCCUUUGAUACUGGCUGUCUCGAGGUCGAGAGAGGUUGGUGGAAUUCCUAGUGUAGAGGUGAAAUUCGUAGAUAUUAGGAAGAACACCAGUGGCGAAGGCGGCCAACUGGCUCGAUACUGACGCUGAGGUGCGAAAGCGUGGGGAGCAAACAGGAUUAGAUACCCGAGUAGUCCCUGAGCGGGCUGGCAAGGCGCAU
This 447-nucleotide ribosomal RNA is filed under the name uncultured bacterium. RNAcentral describes it as "bacterial SSU rRNA". It matches the Rfam family "Bacterial small subunit ribosomal RNA", at positions 355 to 825 of the family's 1533-position model. The record is from RNAcentral.